AGCCCGCUCUUUUAUUAUAUUUAAAUCCAGUAAUACGAUAAUUAUUAUUUAAUCUUUCAGUAAAUCAAGCCCAGUAAUUAUUUAUGAUUUAAAUUCAGCUUAUGACACUGGAUUAUAUUCUAAUUGAAGCAGGGUUAUUAUUUUUUUUUCACUAAGCCAGUUAGCUUCGCGUGAGUAAAACCGCGAUGAGAAUUAUUUAGUAAACCAAUAAUUAUUCAUUUCAGAUUCAUAACUGACUUAGCUAAGUCAUGUUAUUUAUUAAUCACAAUAGAAUUAUUUUUCUAUUUUUAUUAUUAUUUCUUGAGUCGUGAAUUUAUUCCGGCUUGUGAAAAAUUAAAUCUACGUUAUUAAUUUAGAUAUUAUUCCGUGUAUUAAAUCUAGCACGCCAUGCUCCCUCAGCCACUCUAUUUAUAUAUGCUCACUCGUGCUUAGCUUUUCUUUUUCUUCUCCUACAUAGUCAAAAAAGGAAUUCAGCAAACAAAUCUCAAGAAUGUCAACAGCAAAUCUCAUCUUUAAUUCUUCAACCACGCUCAACAAUCUAGCCGUACUAUUCAUCAUCUGUUCACACUAAUCAGCUCUCCAUAAGUUCAGUAUAAAGCACAGCAAAUCUACUCCUUCCAUCAAGAAAUCACCAAGCAUAACCUUCUCAUACCCAUUCCACACUUAAACGUCUUCAUCAUUCUCUGCCAAAGUAAUUUUCAAGUAUCAAUUUAAUUCAAUAUUCAGCAAUCCAAUCAAGCAUCAUUCAAGGUCAAGCACCAGAGUUAGAGCUAAACCGUGAGUCUGCUAUUCAGGUGGGCAAUUUCUUACGCGUUGAGCUGUGAUGAACGAUGAAGUGUUGCUGAGUGGAGCUUUUGUCGAACUUAGAAUAGGCUCAGAAAGGAUAUGUGUCUGCAUACAUGUAUCUCAGUCUUGCCUUCCGCUGCAAACACUGAUUAUGUUUUAGUCAAGUCUAUAAUUAUGUCAAUUACUCUUCAAGAAAUAUUUAACGCUUACUCGGGUUCAUCGAGUAUCCUUUUUAACUAUA
This is a long non-coding RNA of Salvia miltiorrhiza (redroot sage), 1027 nucleotides long. RefSeq lists it as uncharacterized. Lineage: Eukaryota; Viridiplantae; Streptophyta; Magnoliopsida; Lamiales; Lamiaceae. The transcript is spliced from 2 exons. The record is from RefSeq and is a predicted model, not a curated record.